GUAGGCCUACGGGGGGCAGCAGUGGGGAAUAUUGCACAAUGGGGGGAACCCUGAUGCAGCGACGCCGCGUGAGUGAAGAAGUAUUUCGGUAUGUAAAGCUCUGUCAGCAGGGAAGAAGAAAGACGGUACCUGACCAAGAAGCCCCGGCUAACUACGUGCCAGCAGCCGCGGUAAUACGUAGGGGGCAAGCGUUAUCCGGAUUUACUGGGUGUAAAGGGAGCGUAGACGGCAGGGCAAGUCUGGAGUGAAAGGCAGGGGCCCAACCCCAGGGCUGCAUUGGGAACUGCCAGGCUGGAGUGCCGGAG
Molecule: ribosomal RNA, 305 nt
Filed under: uncultured bacterium
Lineage: Bacteria
Description: bacterial SSU rRNA
Rfam family: Bacterial small subunit ribosomal RNA
Source: RNAcentral